RNAcentral lists this small nuclear RNA (102 nucleotides) under Octopus vulgaris (common octopus). RNAcentral also lists the same sequence under 1 other name. The record is from RNAcentral. Lineage: Eukaryota; Metazoa; Mollusca; Cephalopoda; Octopoda; Octopodidae.
GUAUUCGUUAAUGCAUAUACUAAAAUUGGAACGAUACAGAGAACAUAAGCAUGGCCCCUGCGCAAGGAUGACACGCAAAUUCGUGAAGCGUUCCUUAUUUUU